GAUGAACGCUGGCGGCGUGCCUAAUACAUGCAAGUCGAGCGAACGGACGAGAAGCUUGCUCCUCUGACGUUAGCGGCGGACGGGUGAGUAACACGUGGAUAACCUACCUAUAAGACUGGGAUAACUUCGGGAAACCGGAGCUAAUACCGGAUGAUAUUUUGAACCGCAUGGUUCAAAAGUGAAAGACGGUUUUGCUGUCACUUAUAGAUGGAUCCGCGCUGCAUUAGCUAGUUGGUAAGGUAACGGCUUACCAAGGCAACGAUGCAUAGCCGACCUGAGAGGGUGAUCGGCCACACUGGAACUGAGACACGGUCCAGACUCCUACGGGAGGCAGCAGUAGGGAAUCUUCCGCAAUGGGCGAAAGCCUGACGGAGCAACGCCGCGUGAGUGAUGAAGGUCUUCGGAUCGUAAAACUCUGUUAUUAGGGAAGAACAUAUGUGUAAGUAACUGUGCACAUCUUGACGGUACCUAAUCAGAAAGCCACGGCUAACUACGUG
Molecule: ribosomal RNA, 497 nt
Filed under: uncultured bacterium
Lineage: Bacteria
Description: partial 16S ribosomal RNA
Rfam family: Bacterial small subunit ribosomal RNA
Source: RNAcentral